Molecule: long non-coding RNA, 1122 nt
Organism: Hipposideros armiger (great roundleaf bat)
Lineage: Eukaryota; Metazoa; Chordata; Mammalia; Chiroptera; Hipposideridae
Exons: 4
Source: RefSeq, a predicted model, not a curated record
CCUAAUGGCGGCGCUGACGAGCCACUUCCGGCGUAAAGUCCGUGAGCCGCAGCCCGACUUCCGGCACCGCCUCCUCCCCGCGGUUCCCCGCGCUGGAUUCCCCAUAAGCCAACGGCCGUGAGUUCUGUGCAGGUUUUCCCCCUUUUAUCGUUCACUGAAGUUGCAGCCUCGAUUGUUUUCAUUCUUUUCGCUUGUGCUUCAUCGCUUUUCCUACCGUCGUUGUGUAGAAGGGCUUUGGAGACAGACAUCCCAUUCCAGCCUUCGGUCUGCCACUAACUGGUAUCAUGGACUAGAAAUAUUUAAGAUCUCGCUCAGCAGAAAGCAUCUGCCACGCAGGGAGUGUAGUCUUAAAGAUGGGGGUCAGGAAAGGAGUCACUGAAAUGGCAAGACCUGAAGGAGAGCAAGGAGCGAGCUGUGCCGAUACUGUGGGAAGAACAUCUCAGGCAGAACACCAGACACUAAGACAACAGAUGAGGCCUGAGGGGAUGAAGUAGGCAAAAUGGACAGAGGACUCCGCCCAAAAACCCCUUCACCACCCCUAAGAUGAGUAAGUAAUUGAGUUUAACUUGUUCCUUGUGUAAAAGACCAGUUAAAUCUGUGACAUUUAGGCAGCAGACGUCCUUUUUAAAGUAAAAGUUUCAAUUAGCCUUGAUUUUCAAUGAAAAUAGUGUUUCAGGAACUCUCACAGGAAAACUUUGGCAUUUUUCUCAAUGCCUGAGGAAAUCAGAAGCAUAUAUUUAUCUCCUCCGGAUCUAUGAGUGAAUCUGCACUGGGAGAAUUAGUCUAAUAUCCAGGUCAUAGUUAUAAAAUAAAAAAAAAAUCAAACAGCUUGUCAAAUCUGCCAUAAUUUAUCAUCCAUUUCUAAGGAAUUAUAAUUCUUUUGAAUCUUUUCCUGGCAUAUCCCCCAGAUUCUUCCUGUUGCAUUUCUAGUUUAUGAAUCAAGCCUUUCAUUCAUUUAUUUAUUCUACAAGUAUUUCUUUCCCUAGCAACCAUAGCUUUAUUUUAGGCACUUAGGAGUUAUAAGGGCAAUCCAUUCCUAAUCCUGCAAGAGUUUACAGUUUAUUGGGGAUGGCAAGAGAAGGAAAAGAAAGAAAGAAGGGGGAGGGAGGACGAGGAAAGAAA